GACGAACGCUGGCGGCGUGCCUAGUACAUGCGAGUAGAACGCUGAAGAGAGGAGCUUGCUCUUCUUGGAUGAGUUGCGAACGGGUGAGUAACGCGUAGGUAACCUGCCUUGUAGCGGGGGAUAACUAUUGGAAACGAUAGCUAAUACCGCAUAACAAUGGAUGACACAUGUCAUUUAUUUGAAAGGGGCAAUUGCUCCACUACAAGAUGGACCUGCGUUGUAUUAGCUAGUAGGUGAGGUAAUGGCUCACCUAGGCGACGAUACAUAGCCGACCUGAGAGGGUGAUCGGCCACACUGGGACUGAGACACGGCCCAGACUCCUACGGGAGGCAGCAGUAGGGAAUCUUCGGCAAUGGGGGCAACCCUGACCGAGCAACGCCGCGUGAGUGAAGAAGGUUUUCGGAUCGUAAAGCUCUGUUGUAAGUCAAGAACGGGUGUGAGAGUGGAAAGUUCACACUGUGACGGUAGCUUACCAGAAAGGGACGGCUAACUACGUG
RNAcentral lists this ribosomal RNA (497 nucleotides) under uncultured bacterium. RNAcentral describes it as "partial 16S ribosomal RNA". It matches the Rfam family "Bacterial small subunit ribosomal RNA", at positions 28 to 507 of the family's 1533-position model. The record is from RNAcentral.